Molecule: ribosomal RNA, 560 nt
Filed under: Fusarium oxysporum f. sp. ciceris
Lineage: Eukaryota; Fungi; Ascomycota; Sordariomycetes; Hypocreales; Nectriaceae
Description: eukaryotic LSU rRNA
Rfam family: 5.8S ribosomal RNA (bases 180-332)
Source: RNAcentral
UCUUUAGGGGGUACCUGCGGAGGGAUCAUUACCGAGUUUACAACUCCCAAACCCCUGUGAACAUACCAAUUGUUGCCUCGGCGGAUCAGCCCGCUCCCGGUAAAACGGGACGGCCCGCCAGAGGACCCCUAAACUCUGUUUCUAUAUGUAACUUCUGAGUAAAACCAUAAAUAAAUCAAAACUUUCAACAACGGAUCUCUUGGUUCUGGCAUCGAUGAGAACGCAGCAAAAUGCGAUAAGUAAUGUGAAUUGCAGAAUUCAGUGAAUCAUCGAAUCUUUGAACGCACAUUGCGCCCGCCAGUAUUCUGGCGGGCAUGCCUGUUCGAGCGUCAUUUCAACCCUCAAGCCCCCGGGUUUGGUGUUGGGGAUCGGCGAGCCCUUGCGGCAAGCCGGCCCCGAAAUCUAGUGGCGGUCUCGCUGCAGCUUCCAUUGCGUAGUAGUAAAACCCUCGCAACUGGUACGCGGCGCGGCCAAGCCGUUAAACCCCCAACUUCUGAAUGUUGACCUCGGAUCAGGUAGGAAUACCCGCUGAACUUAAGCAUAUCAAAAUCUGGAAAUUG